RNAcentral lists this long non-coding RNA (207 nucleotides) under Elaeis guineensis (African oil palm). Its description in RNAcentral is "long non-coding RNA (EGUI_LNC078889)". Lineage: Eukaryota; Viridiplantae; Streptophyta; Magnoliopsida; Arecales; Arecaceae. The record is from RNAcentral.
CCUCCACAAACAACCAAGUCAAACAUAACCGGUACUGUAGCUGCUGGUGGCCAAUCUAGCAUUGGAGUAGGUAGAUUUGAAGUAGCUAGAUGUUGGCGCCAAAUUGGAUGAGAGUGAACCUGCAAAUCAAGUUCCUCAUCGGAGUUGUUUCUAAUGGGAACUCUCUAACACUCAAGUCAGUCAUUGGAGAAUAGUGGAAAGAAGGGA